GAGGGUGAAAGUGGUGAUUUGGCCGGCCGGCUUGCAGCCACGUUAAACAACUCGCUAAAGGGCCGACCCGACGAUGAA
RNAcentral lists this non-coding RNA (78 nucleotides) under Fulvimarina manganoxydans. The record is from RNAcentral. Lineage: Bacteria; Pseudomonadati; Pseudomonadota; Alphaproteobacteria; Hyphomicrobiales; Aurantimonadaceae.